This 82-nucleotide transfer RNA is filed under the name Oryctolagus cuniculus (rabbit). It matches the Rfam family "tRNA". Rfam says of the family: Transfer RNA (tRNA) molecules are approximately 80 nucleotides in length. The record is from Rfam by way of RNAcentral. Lineage: Eukaryota; Metazoa; Chordata; Mammalia; Lagomorpha; Leporidae.
GGCACUGUGGCAUAGUGGGUAAGGCCACAGCCUGCAGUGCUGGAAUCUUCUAUGGGUGCCGGUUUGAGUCCUGCCUGUUCCA